UAAGCGGAGGAAANGAAACUAACANNGGAUUCCCCUAGUAACUGCGAGUGAAGCGGGAAAAGCUCAAAUUUAAAAUCUGGUGGNCUUUGNCCAUCCGAGUUGUAAUUUAGAGAAGCGUCUUNCGCGCUGGACCGUGCACAAGUCUCCUGGAAUGGAGCGUCAUAGAGGGUGAGAAUCCCGUCUUUGGCACGGACACACCAGGGCUUUUGUGAUGCGCUCUCAAAGAGUCGAGUUGUUUGGGAAUGCAGCUCAAAAUGGGUGGUGAACUCCAUCUAAAGCUAAAUAUUGGCGAGAGACCGAUAGCGAACAAGUACCGUGAGGGAAAGAUGAAAAGCACUUUGGAAAGAGAGUGAAACAGUACGUGAAAUUGUUGAAAGGGAAACGCUUGAAGUCAGUCGCGUCGCCCGAGACUCAGCCUUGCCUCGGCUUGGUGUACUUCUCGGCUGACGGGUCAGCAUCAAUUUUGCCCCUUGGAUAAUGGCGAGGGAAAUGUGACACCUUUACGGGUGUGUUAUAGUCUCUCGUCGCAUGCAAGGGUCGGGAUUGAGGAACUCAGCACGCGCCUUUCGGCGUCGGGGCGUUCGCCCACGAUACGUGCUUAGGAUGUUGGCGUAAUGGCUUUAAACGACC
Molecule: ribosomal RNA, 630 nt
Filed under: uncultured Russulaceae
Lineage: Eukaryota; Fungi; Basidiomycota; Agaricomycetes; Russulales; Russulaceae
Description: LSU rRNA
Rfam family: Eukaryotic large subunit ribosomal RNA
Source: RNAcentral